UACGUAGGUGGCAAGCGUUGUCCGGAUUUACUGGGCGUAAAGAGCGCGCAGGCGGUCGUGCAAGUCGCGUGUGAAAGCCCCCGGCUCAACUGGGGAGGGUCACGCGAUACUGUUCGACUCGAAGGCAGGAGAGGGAAGCGGAAUUCCCGGUGUAGUGGUGAAAUGCGUAGAUAUCGCUUGGAACGCCAACGGUCAAAACAGCUCGCUGGGGGUGUGCUGACGCUGAGACACGAAAGCCAGGGGAGCGAACGGG
This 253-nucleotide ribosomal RNA is filed under the name uncultured bacterium. RNAcentral describes it as "partial 16S ribosomal RNA". It matches the Rfam family "Bacterial small subunit ribosomal RNA", at positions 524 to 776 of the family's 1533-position model. The record is from RNAcentral.